GCUGGGCGUGGUGGCGCACGCCUGUCAUCCCAGCUACUCAGGAGGCUGAGGCAGGAGAAUUGCUUGAACCCGGGGGAUGGAGGUUGCAGUGAGCUGAGAUCGUGCCAUUGCACUCCAGCCUGGGUGACAGAGCAAGACUCCGUCUCAA
Non-coding RNA from Homo sapiens (human), 148 nucleotides. It matches the Rfam family "Metazoan signal recognition particle RNA". Rfam says of the family: The signal recognition particle (SRP) is a universally conserved ribonucleoprotein. It is involved in the co-translational targeting of proteins to membranes. The record is from Rfam. NCBI's taxonomy places the organism in Eukaryota, Metazoa, Chordata, Mammalia, Primates, Hominidae.